AGCGAACGCUGGCGGCAUGCCUUACACAUGCAAGUCGAACGGUAACAGCACUUCGGUGGCUGACGAGUGGCGAACGGGUGAGUAAUACAUCGGAACGUGCCCGAGAGUGGGGGAUAACGCAGCGAAAGCUGUGCUAAUACCGCAUACGAUCUACGGAUGAAAGCAGGGGACCGCAAGGCCUUGCGCUCAUGGAGCGGCCGAUGGCAGAUUAGGUAGUUGGUGGGAUAAAAGCUUACCAAGCCGACGAUCUGUAGCUGGUCUGAGAGGACGACCAGCCACACUGGGACUGAGACACGGCCCAGACUCCUACGGGAGGCAGCAGUGGGGAAUUUUGGACAAUGGGCGAAAGCCUGAUCCAGCCAUGCCGCGUGCAGGAU
This 377-nucleotide ribosomal RNA is filed under the name uncultured bacterium. RNAcentral's name for it is "bacterial SSU rRNA". It matches the Rfam family "Bacterial small subunit ribosomal RNA", at positions 29 to 409 of the family's 1533-position model. The record is from RNAcentral.